UACGGAGGGUGCAAGCGUUAUCCGGAUUCACUGGGUUUAAAGGGUGCGUAGGUGGGUCUGUAAGUCAGUGGUGAAAUCUCCGUGCUUAACAUGGAAACUGCCAUUGAUACUAUAGGUCUUGAAUUUUCUGGAGGUAAGCGGAGUAUGUCAUGUAGCGGUGAAAUGCUUAGAUAUGACAUAGAACACCAAUUGCGAAGGCAGCUUACUACGGGAACAUUGACACUGAGGCACGAAAGCGUGGGGAUCAAACAGG
This 253-nucleotide ribosomal RNA is filed under the name uncultured bacterium. RNAcentral describes it as "partial 16S ribosomal RNA". It matches the Rfam family "Bacterial small subunit ribosomal RNA", at positions 524 to 776 of the family's 1533-position model. The record is from RNAcentral.